This 84-nucleotide transfer RNA is filed under the name Eggerthellaceae bacterium. RNAcentral describes it as "tRNA-Leu". It matches the Rfam family "tRNA". From Rfam's summary of the family: Transfer RNA (tRNA) molecules are approximately 80 nucleotides in length. Their secondary structure includes four short double-helical elements and three loops (D, anti-codon, and T loops). Further hydrogen bonds mediate the characteristic L-shaped molecular structure. tRNAs have two regions of fundamental functional importance: the anti-codon, which is responsible for specific mRNA codon recognition, and the 3' end, to which the tRNAs corresponding amino acid is attached (by aminoacyl-tRNA synthetases). tRNAs cope with the degeneracy of the genetic code in two manners: having more than one tRNA (with a specific anti-codon) for a particular amino acid; and 'wobble' base-pairing, i.e. permitting non-standard base-pairing at the 3rd anti-codon position. The record is from RNAcentral. Lineage: Bacteria; Bacillati; Actinomycetota; Coriobacteriia; Eggerthellales; Eggerthellaceae.
GCGGGCGUGGCGGAAUGGCAGACGCGGUGGUUUUAGGUGCCACUGGGGCAACCCGUGAAGGUUCAAGUCCUUUCGCCCGCACCA